UCUCCGUUGGUGAACCAGCGGAGGGAUCAUUACAGAGUUUUCACAACUCCCAACCCUUGCGAACCGUACCCAUUCUGUUCUCGCUGCUUCCGGCGGGGGGGACGGGGGGGCCCGAAACGGCCUCCCCGCCCCGCCCGCCGGGGGCGGCGGGCCCUACGAACCUUUAUAUCUCAACCUCCGGAAACCGUCUGAGAAAACAAACAAAAUAAUCAAAACUUUCAACAACGGAUCUCUUGGCUCUG
RNAcentral lists this unclassified non-coding RNA (242 nucleotides) under plant metagenome. RNAcentral's name for it is "partial contains small subunit ribosomal RNA, internal transcribed spacer 1, and 5.8S ribosomal RNA". The record is from RNAcentral.